Molecule: long non-coding RNA, 595 nt
Filed under: Junco hyemalis (dark-eyed junco)
Lineage: Eukaryota; Metazoa; Chordata; Aves; Passeriformes; Passerellidae
Description: lncRNA (ENSJHYG00000016337.1)
Source: RNAcentral
CAUCCCAAACCGAAGUUUUGACUGGAUUUUCACAAGCUCUAUCCUGCACUUCUUGAGCCUUUGAGAGAAGUUUAUUUUGACCCUUUGAGCCUUCAAACUACAGUUUUAAUGAAAUACUAAGUCAAACAUUUUGUCAGUUUCUUGCAGAUCUUUGGCAUACUCUGAACACGAGUUUUACAAGUACUUGGUUAUAGUAAUGCUGCAAGCAUGAACUGCUCAGUAAGAGCCACAGUCCAGCUGUAAUACUGCAAAAGUACAAGGUUAUCCAGUGAGAUCCCACAGCCAUCCAUUGCUUUAAGAGAGGAAGCUUACAGCCUAAUUAUGAGUCAGCACAGAACAUUGAAACAUUUGUGAAAGCAGCUGGUCCCAGAGGUGAGGUGUUCCAAGCUCCCAUUUUGGAGCCAAGUACGUACGCUGUGGAGUCAGUCAUGACACCCCUUUAUAGAGAACAGACAAUGACUUUUGGAUCUUGUGAGUACCUUUUCUCCCUGCAGAAAAGUUCCCUUCCCCCAUUCUUUUGGAAACAUCUCAGGCUGUAUUGGAAACAGAGGAUGUAAUUUAUUUUUAUCGCUUUCCCUGUCAAACUGGCCAACUG